UGAACGCUGGCGGCAGGCCUAACACAUGCAAGUCGAACGCGAAAGUCCUCGGAUGAGUAGAGUGGCGGACGGGUGGAGUAACGCGUAGGAAUCUGUCCGGUAGUGGGGGAGUAACGUUCCGAAAGGAACGCUAAUACCGCAUACGUCCUACGGGAGAAAGCAGGGGACCUUCGGGCCUUGCGCUAUCAGAUGAGCCUAGGUCGGAUUAGCUAGUUGGUGAGGUAAUGGCUCACCAAGGCGACGAUCAGUAGCUGGUUUGAGAGAACAACCAGCCUCACUGGAACUGAGACACGGUCCAGACUCCUACGGGAGGCAGCAGUGGGGAAUUUUGGACAAUGGACGCAAGUCUGAUCCAGCCAUUCCGCGUGCAGGAUGAAGGCCCUCGGGUUGUAAACUGCUUUUGUACGGAACGAAAAGGUUUCUCUUAAUACGAGGAGCUCAUGACGGUACCGUAAGAAUAAGCACCGGCUAACUACGUGCCAGCAGCCGCGGUAAUCU
This 498-nucleotide ribosomal RNA is filed under the name uncultured bacterium. RNAcentral's name for it is "bacterial SSU rRNA". It matches the Rfam family "Bacterial small subunit ribosomal RNA", at positions 30 to 526 of the family's 1533-position model. The record is from RNAcentral.